Molecule: ribosomal RNA, 460 nt
Filed under: uncultured bacterium
Lineage: Bacteria
Description: partial 16S ribosomal RNA
Rfam family: Bacterial small subunit ribosomal RNA
Source: RNAcentral
CCUACGGGGGGCUGCAGUGAGGAAUAUUGGUCAAUGGGCUUACGCCUGAACCAGCCAAGUCGCGUGAGGGAAGACUGCCCUAUGGGUUGUAAACCUCUUUUGUCAGGGAGCAACGCCGGCUACGUGUAGCCGGACUGAGAGUACCUGAAGAAAAAGCAUCGGCUAACUCCGUGCCAGCAGCCGCGGUAAUACGGAGGAUGCGAGCGUUAUCCGGAUUUAUUGGGUUUAAAGGGUGCGUAGGCGGAAUGCCAAGUCAGCGGUAAAAUCGCGGGGCUCAACCUCGCUCCGCCGUUGAAACUGGCGUUCUUGAGUGGGCGAGAAGUAUGCGGAAUGCGGGGUGUAGCGGUGGAAUGCGUAGAUAUCGGGAGGAACACCAGAGGCGAAGGCGACUUACUGGACUGUAACUGACGCUGAGGCUCGAAAGCGUGGGGAGCAAACAGGAUUAGAUACCCGGGUAGUC